CUAACGGUGUCUUUAGACACCACCUUUUAUCUUAGAAUUCUUUGU
Molecule: non-coding RNA, 45 nt
Organism: Picea glauca (white spruce)
Lineage: Eukaryota; Viridiplantae; Streptophyta; Pinopsida; Pinales; Pinaceae
Source: Rfam